UGUGUGCAAUCCGCUUUUCGUCUCCCCUCCGUCGGUUUGGCGAGUCGCACCGUCGCCAGUGCGGCUUCCUCAUCCUCGUAGCAGGGCACGGAGCACCUAAUCCUCGCUCUCGCUUUCUCGCAUGACGAAAGACCGUCUCCAUUACCGCCUGUCGAGGAAGCACGCCCAUGGCGCGGAGGAGGUGGAGCGGUCUAUCGGCAUCACCUGCUCACGCUAUGCGCCAGCAGCCCGGACAGCGGGCGCGCGCCGCCCCGUGGCGCUCAUAAAGUGGGCCUUCGACGACUACAUCAUGGAGGAGGAGCUACCGAGCGACGCCUUCGUUUCAUCUACGCCAGUGGAUGCCAAGCUUCGCACAAGCCUCGUCGUCCGCCUCAUCAGCGAAGGGGUGCCAGACACAGUCGUUGAGCGGCAGCUGCGUGAGCGGCUGCCAAAGCACAUGCAGUUUCACUUCCUCUCUCCCGUUGACUUUGUCAGCUGUGCGUCGCGCUACGUUUGGCUGCGUUGUGAUGGCGCCCAGGCAGCCCAACUGCUGAGCGACUCCUUUCAGCGGGAGCAGCUGUGGCACACAGGGACCGGCGACGUGUACGUCAGUCCUGUGCAGGAGGUGCGUGUCGACUCCAGGGCUGACCACUUCCCUCCGCACUUGCUUCCCAGCACCCGGUACACUGUCACCCUGCGCAACGUGCAAGGCAGCUUGGGCGAUGUGCUCCCGCAGCUUCGCAGUGUUGCCCAGAAUGGGUUUCUAAACUACUCCCACACCGCCCGGCACGGUGUUGGGCUCUACUACGUCUACAAGGACGCGAAACUGCUGCUGCGUCGCGAGUAUGGCGAAUUCCUCCAAAACUACAUGAGGCGCCUCACCGAGGGCACCACCCACGUCCAGCGGGAGAUGCCCGUACUGCAGGAGGUCCUCGCCUCACCGCGCAGUUCGCGACGUGAUUGGAUCAGCGUGGUUGAAGGGAUGGAAGCUGCCGUCAAGGGUGACGCGCAGGUGUACGCGCGGACGCGGCAGACCGGCUUGUACCCGCCGCAUCACGACCUGCUUCUGGACUUUGUGCGGCGGGCAGCAGAUGUCGCCCCGCGUCACCAUGACUCGGCGCAGAUCAUUCGCGAAGCGGUGCGUCCGCUCGUGCUGCAGGAGGCGCUGCACGCCAUCACAGAUGUGCACUUCAACGCGCUGGCCUCCCUCCGCUGGCAACGCGGUGGCGACACCGUCGCAGUCGGUGACGUUGUUCGCGUUCGAGACUUGACCCGCCAGCACCCCGCUGAGCCGGAUAACGCGCGAGACGUCUUCGCCGGUGCGGCAGAUCACAUCAACGGCGCGAUGCUCUCUUCGGCUCAUCAAGACUGGUCAGCGUUCAAAGCUGAGGAAAUCGGAGCCGCGCAAACGGCGGAUGCCUACCGGCGUGUUGCCACGAAAGCGGAAGCUUCCCAGUAUCGCCUCACGGAUGUUGUGCUGCCGACGUUUGGCAGAGAUGUGACCCACCUUCCACUCAUGUCGGAGGAGAGCAGCGAUGCGCUCCUUGCCGCCCUCGCACAAGAGCUUCGCGUUGAGGGCCUGGCAGAAAUGCGCCUCGCGCCACGCGCAGCUUUCCGCCCGCUCGUGCAGCUGCCCGUGAACAUGUCGUUUUACGUGGUGGAUGAAAAGCGCGGCUGGGACUGGGAAGAGGAUGCCGGUGCGGCGCGCAUCAAGGCGUCGCUCUACCACGAUCAGGAUGGCAUUCUGCGCUGCCACUCGCCCAUGUCGCGGCGGACGGGCAAGAACAUGGUUGCACGCCUUGGUAUUCGGGGCGAUGCGGCCCGCAAGUUUUUCCUCAAACCGGCACGGAGGCUUGGCAUGACGUGUGUAAUGCAGUUCACGCUCCCGGCAGGAAGUCACGCGACAUCGGCGAUUCGAGAGGCGUUUAUGAUAGCUACCGUCUCACCCUCCGCCAUCUUCCGCCUCCUUGCCGCGAAGUAGAGGUGAUGGCGGGCGAGUUUUGUGGCUCGGGACUGCUGCUCGCAUGCACAUGUGAACGCCCUCCCCUCCCCUCUCGGUACACUCCCGCCAUGCCAUGCGCCGUUGCACUCCCGCCUUCCUCUUUUGUAUUUGUGUGUGCGUGCAUGCGCCUUCUCCCUCUUUCGC
Molecule: unclassified non-coding RNA, 2125 nt
Filed under: Leishmania donovani
Lineage: Eukaryota; Euglenozoa; Kinetoplastea; Trypanosomatida; Trypanosomatidae
Description: gene:LdHU3.35.3430(CDS-product:hypothetical_prote in_conserved)
Source: RNAcentral